GGAGAAUUUUUGGCGCCUACAUUCUAGGAGAGAAAGGUGUGGGGCAGCAACAAGGAGAAGAGUCCUCCAACUAAAACUUAUCCUAACAAACCCUAACCCUUGGUUUAAAUAGAAAUAAGAGGGGCGCCUCCUCCUGUAGUGAUAAGAUCAUUUUAGGCGUGAGAUAAGAUAGAGAAAAGGGGCAUGGGCAAUGAGAUAGGUGUUGGAUCAUGAGA
RNAcentral lists this long non-coding RNA (215 nucleotides) under Elaeis guineensis (African oil palm). RNAcentral's name for it is "long non-coding RNA (EGUI_LNC046254)". Lineage: Eukaryota; Viridiplantae; Streptophyta; Magnoliopsida; Arecales; Arecaceae. The record is from RNAcentral.